Molecule: ribosomal RNA, 468 nt
Filed under: uncultured bacterium
Lineage: Bacteria
Description: partial 16S ribosomal RNA
Rfam family: Bacterial small subunit ribosomal RNA
Source: RNAcentral
GACGAACGCUGGCGGCGUGCUUAACACAUGCAAGUCGAACGGAAAGGCCCUGCUUUUGUGGGGUGCUCGAGUGGCGAACGGGUGAGUAACACGUGAGUAACCUGCCCUUGACUUUGGGAUAACUUCAGGAAACUGGGGCUAAUACCGGAUAGGAGCUCCUGCUGCAUGGUGGGGGUUGGAAAGUUUCGGCGGUUGGGGAUGGACUCGCGGCUUAUCAGUUUGUUGGUGGGGUAGUGGCUUACCAAGGCUUUGACGGGUAGCCGGCCUGAGAGGGUGACCGGCCACAUUGGGACUGAGAUACGGCCCAGACUCCUACGGUAGGCAGCAGUGGGGAAUAUUGCACAGUGGGCGGGAGCCUGAUGCAGCAACGCCGCGGGCGGGAUGACGGCCUUCGGGUUGUGAACCGCUUUCGCCUGUGACGAAGCGUGAGUGACGGUAAUGGGUAAAGAAGCACCGGCUAACUACGUG